AACGAACGCUGGCGGCAUGCCUAACACAUGCAAGUCGAACGAGACCUUCGGGUCUAGUGGCGCACGGGUGCGUAACGCGUGGGAACCUGCCCUUAGGUUCGGCAUAACUCCCCGAAAGGGGUGCUAAUACCGGAUAAUGUCUUCGGCCCAAAGAUUUAUCGCCUUUGGAUGGGCCCGCGUUGGAUUAGCUAGUUGGUAGGGUAAAAGACUACCAAGGCGCCGAUCCAUAGCUGGUCUGAGAGGAUGAUCAGCCACACUGGGACUGAGACACGGCCCAGACUCCUACGGGAGGCAGCAGUGGGGAAUAUUGGACAAUGGGCGGAAGCCUGAUCCAGCAAUGCCGCGUGAGUGAUGAAGGCCUUAGGGUUGUAAAGCUCUUUUACCCGGGAUGAUAAUGACAGUACCGGGAGAAUAAGCUCCGGCUAACUCCGUG
RNAcentral lists this ribosomal RNA (433 nucleotides) under uncultured bacterium. RNAcentral describes it as "partial 16S ribosomal RNA". It matches the Rfam family "Bacterial small subunit ribosomal RNA", at positions 29 to 507 of the family's 1533-position model. The record is from RNAcentral.